GACGAACGCUGGCGGCGUGCCUAAUACAUGCAAGUCGAGCGGACUCAUCCCUUCGGGGAUGGGUUAGCGGCGGACGGGUGAGUAACACGUAGGUAACCUGCCUGUAAGAUCGGGAUAACUAUCGGAAACGAUAGCUAAGACCGAAUAAUUGAUUCUGGUGCAUGCCGGGAUUAUGAAACACGGUUCCGAAUUUAUUCGAGGGCUGUGGCUUACGGAUGGGCCUGCGGCGCAUUAGCUAGUUGGUGAGGUAAUGGCUCACCAAGGCGACGAUGCGUAGCCGACCUGAGAGGGUGAACGGCCACACUGGGACUGAGACACGGCCCAGACUCCUACGGGAGGCAGCAGUAGGGAAUCUUCCGCAAUGGACGCAAGUCUGACGGAGCAACG
Molecule: ribosomal RNA, 387 nt
Filed under: uncultured bacterium
Lineage: Bacteria
Description: bacterial SSU rRNA
Rfam family: Bacterial small subunit ribosomal RNA
Source: RNAcentral